Molecule: long non-coding RNA, 247 nt
Filed under: Nicotiana benthamiana
Lineage: Eukaryota; Viridiplantae; Streptophyta; Magnoliopsida; Solanales; Solanaceae
Description: long non-coding RNA (NBEN_LNC018721)
Source: RNAcentral
AUAAAAUGGUAGUCUGAAAGCGAAAUUUGGUGAGCUUCCAGAAUGUGGGUGAUGGCCAUCCCAUAAGGAAAGCUGGUGGGAUCUUAUUCGCUUUCAAUCAUAAAAUUGAUGACCUAGGAGGACAGCUUGAUUUUGAGUUUGGAAAUAAGACAGUAGACGAAGAAGGUGUCCCUUUGGGAGAGAGUUGAGAAUGAGCCAGUUCUGGAAAGAAGAGUAGUUGCAACAAUAUGAGCAAGAAAUCGAGUUU